GGACGACGCUGGCGGCGUGCCUAACACAUGCAAGUCGAGCGGAGUCGGUAAGAGGAAGUUUCGGAUGGAAUCUUAUGAUUAGCGGCGGACGGGUGAGUAACGCGUGAGCGACCAACCUUGCACAGGGGGAUAACGGACCGAAAGGUUCACUAAUACCGCAUGAGACCACGGUGUUGCAUGACACAGAGGUCAAAGGAGCAAUCCGGUGCAAGACGGGCUCGCGUCCGAUUAGGUAGUUGGAGGGUAACGGCCCACCAAGCCUAUGAUCGGUAGCCGACCUGAGAGGGUGAUCGGCCACAUUGGAACUGAGAUACGGUCCAAACUCCUACGGGAGGCAGCAGUGGGGAAUAUUGGGCAAAUGGGGGAAACCCUGACCCAGCAACGCCGCGUGAAGGAAGAAGGUUUUCGGAUUGUAAACUUCUGUCCUUGGUGAAGAGAAGAAGACGGUAGCCAAGGAGGAAGCCCCGGCUAACUACGUGCCAGCAGCGGC
This 490-nucleotide ribosomal RNA is filed under the name uncultured bacterium. RNAcentral describes it as "bacterial SSU rRNA". It matches the Rfam family "Bacterial small subunit ribosomal RNA", at positions 33 to 518 of the family's 1533-position model. The record is from RNAcentral.